GGUUGAUAAUUACGAUAAUUUGGCAAUUCACACUGCUUAUCCCUUGUGCGGCGUUCUUCAUGAUGCCAGAACCCAGAGUCCGUUGUGAAAGUUUUGAUUUAUUUGUUUGUUUUUACUCAGAAGUUACACUAAAAAAANGAGUUUUAGGUCCUCUGCGGCCGUCCCGUUUUACCGGGCCGGUGAUCCCCAGGCAACNAUAGGUAUGUUCACCGGGUUUGGAGUUGUAAACUCGGUAAUGAUCCCCUCCGUAGGGNAACCUGCGGAGGGAUCAUUACCGAGUUUACAACUCCCAAACCCCUGUGAACAUACCUAUUGUUGCCUCGGCGGAUCAGCCCGGCCCCGGUAAAACGGGACGGCCCGCCAGAGGACCCUAAACUCUGUUUUUAGUGUAACUUCUGAGUAAAACAAACAAAUAAAUCAAAACUUUCAACAACGGAUCUCUUGGUUCUGGCAUCGAUGAAGAACGCAGCAAAAUGCGAUAAGUAAUGUGAAUUGCAGAAUUCAGUGAAUCAUCGAAUCUUUGAACGCACAUUGCGCCCGCCAGUAUUCUGGCGGGCAUGCCUGUUCGAGCGUCAUUUCAACCCUCAAGCACAGCUUGGUGUUGGGAUUUGCGGAGUAAUUCGCAGUCCCCAAAUCUAUUGGCGGUCACGUCGAGCUUCCAUAGCGUAGUAAUUACACCUCGUUACUGGUAAUCGUCGCGGCCACGCCGUUAAACCCCAACUUCUGAAUGUGACCUCGGAUCAGGUAGAACUACCCGCUGAACUUAAGCAUAUCAAUAAGCCGGAGGAAA
RNAcentral lists this ribosomal RNA (790 nucleotides) under fungal sp. KK21FL2. Its description in RNAcentral is "eukaryotic LSU rRNA". The stretch from base 422 to 575 matches the Rfam family "5.8S ribosomal RNA". Lineage: Eukaryota; Fungi. The record is from RNAcentral.